AACAAACGCUGGCGGCGUGCCUAACACAUGCAAGUCGUACGAGAAAGUCCGCUUCGGUGGAUUAGUAAAGUGGCGCACGGGUGAGUAACGCGUGGAUAAUCUACCCUUUAGUCUGGAAUAACUUAUCGAAAGGUGAACUAAUACCGGAUAAUAUCCCGAUUUCUUCGGCGAACGGGAUCAAAGAAGGCCUCUGCUUGCAAGCUUUUACUGAAGGAUGAGUCCGCGUACCAUUAGCUAGUUGGUAGGGUAAUGGCCUACCAAGGCGACGAUACGUAGCCGACCUGAGAGGGUGAUCGGCCACACUGGGACUGAGACACGGCCCAGACUCCUACGGGAGGCUG
This 341-nucleotide ribosomal RNA is filed under the name uncultured Pseudomonadota bacterium. RNAcentral's name for it is "bacterial SSU rRNA". It matches the Rfam family "Bacterial small subunit ribosomal RNA", at positions 29 to 351 of the family's 1533-position model. The record is from RNAcentral. Lineage: Bacteria; Pseudomonadati; Pseudomonadota.